Hemibagrus wyckioides is the source of this 219-nucleotide long non-coding RNA. RefSeq lists it as uncharacterized. Lineage: Eukaryota; Metazoa; Chordata; Actinopteri; Siluriformes; Bagridae. The record is from RefSeq and is a predicted model, not a curated record. The transcript has 3 exons.
GGGAUUCCCUUAUGAGUCCUCCAUAGAGAACUGUUUCACUGGCAUACAGGACCACCACUACAACUUCCUGGAUGUUUUUUUGAGCUGAUUUUCUUCAGUACUUUAUAAAUGGCUCAAAACCUCAGCCAUUUAAGGGAGGUUUCUUGGAGCGCCUGCUUGCGCUCUUCAGCAUGUGGGACGUGGACGUGUGGGAGCCUGCAGCAGAGCUGUACUUCACAG